UUAAGCGACUAAGCGUACACGGUGGAUGCCCUGGCAGUCAGAGGCGAUGAAGGACGUGCUAAUCUGCGAAAAGCGUCGGUAAGGUGAUAUGAACCGUUAUAGCCGGCGAUGUCCGAAUGGGGAAACCCAGUGCAAUUCGUUGCACUAUCGUUAACUGAAUACAUAGGUUAACGAGGCGAACCGGGGGAACUGAAACAUCUAAGUACCCCGAGGAAAAGAAAUCAACCGAGAUUCCCCCAGUAGCGGCGAGCGAACGGGGAGCAGCCCAGAGUCUGAAUCAGCUUGUGUGUUAGUGGAACGGUCUGGAAAGUCCGACGGUACAGGGUGAUAGUCCCGUACACCAAAAUGCACAGGCUGUGAACUCGAAGAGUAGGGCGGGACACGUGGUAUCCUGUCUGAAUAUGGGGGGACCAUCCUCCAAGGCUAAAUACUCCUGACUGACCGAUAGUGAACCAGUACCGUGAGGGAAAGGCGAAAAGAACCCCGGCGAGGGGAGUGAAAAAGAACCUGAAACCGUGUACGUACAAGCAGUGGGAGCACCUUCGGGUGUGACUGCGUACCUUUUGUAUAAUGGGUCAGCGACUUAUAUUCUGUAGCAAGGUUAACCGUAUAGGGGAGCCGCAGGGAAACCGAGUCUUAACUGGGCGUUAAGUUGCAGGGUAUAGACCCGAAACCCGGUGAUCUAGCCAUGGGCAGGUUGAAGGUUGGGUAACACUAACUGGAGGACCGAACCGACUAAUGUUGAAAAAUUAGCGGAUGACUUGUGGCUGGGGGUGAAAGGCCAAUCAAACCGGGAGAUAGCUGGUUCUCCCCGAAAGCUAUUUAGGUAGCGCCUCGUGAACUCAUCUUCGGGGGUAGAGCACUGUUUCGGCUAGGGGGUCAUCCCGACUUACCAACCCGAUGCAAACUACGAAUACCGAAGAAUGUUAUCACGGGAGACACACGGCGGGUGCUAACGUCCGUCGUGAAGAGGGAAACAACCCAGACCGCCAGCUAAGGUCCCAAAGUCAUGGUUAAGUGGGAAACGAUGUGGGAAGGCACAGACAGCCAGGAUGUUGGCUUAGAAGCAGCCAUCAUUUAAAGAAAGCGUAAUAGCUCACUGGUCGAGUCGGCCUGCGCGGAAGAUGUAACGGGGCUAAACCAUGCACCGAAGCUGCGGCAGCGACACUAUGUGUUGUUGGGUAGGGGAGCGUUCUGUAAGCCUGCGAAGGUGACCUGUGAGGGUUGCUGGAGGUAUCAGAAGUGCGAAUGCUGACAUAAGUAACGAUAAAGCGGGUGAAAAGCCCGCUCGCCGGAAGACCAAGGGUUCCUGUCCAACGUUAAUCGGGGCAGGGUGAGUCGACCCCUAAGGCGAGGCCGAAAGGCGUAGUCGAUGGGAAACAGGUUAAUAUUCCUGUACUUGGUGUUACUGCGAAGGGGGGACGGAGAAGGCUAUGUUAGCCGGGCGACGGUUGUCCCGGUUUAAGCAUGUAGGCUGGUUGUCCAGGCAAAUCCGGAUAAUCAAGGCUGAGGUGUGAUGACGAGGCACUACGGUGCUGAAGUAACAAAUGCCCUGCUUCCAGGAAAAGCCUCUAAGCAUCAGGUAACAUUAAAUCGUACCCCAAACCGACACAGGUGGUCAGGUAGAGAAUACCAAGGCGCUUGAGAGAACUCGGGUGAAGGAACUAGGCAAAAUGGUGCCGUAACUUCGGGAGAAGGCACGCUGGUGUGUAGGUGAAGUCCCUGCGGAUGGAGCUGAGACCAGUCGAAGAUACCAGCUGGCUGCAACUGUUUAUUAAAAACACAGCACUGUGCAAACACGAAAGUGGACGUAUACGGUGUGACGCCUGCCCGGUGCCGGAAGGUUAAUUGAUGGGGUUAUCCGUAAGGAGAAGCUCUUGAUCGAAGCCCCGGUAAACGGCGGCCGUAACUAUAACGGUCCUAAGGUAGCGAAAUUCCUUGUCGGGUAAGUUCCGACCUGCACGAAUGGCGUAAUGAUGGCCAGGCUGUCUCCACCCGAGACUCAGUGAAAUUGAACUCGCUGUGAAGAUGCAGUGUACCCGCGGCAAGACGGAAAGACCCCGUGAACCUUUACUAUAGCUUGACACUGAACAUUGAGCCUUGAUGUGUAGGAUAGGUGGGAGGCUUUGAAGCGUGGACGCCAGUCUGCGUGGAGCCAACCUUGAAAUACCACCCUUUAAUGUUUGAUGUUCUAACGUUGGCCCCUUACCGGGGUUGCGGACAGUGUCUGGUGGGUAGUUUGACUGGGGCGGUCUCCUCCUAAAGCGUAACGGAGGAGCACGAAGGUUAGCUAAUCCUGGUCGGACAUCAGGAGGUUAGUGCAAUGGCAUAAGCUAGCUUGACUGCGAGCGUGACGGCGCGAGCAGGUGCGAAAGCAGGUCAUAGUGAUCCGGUGGUUCUGAAUGGAAGGGCCAUCGCUCAACGGAUAAAAGGUACUCCGGGGAUAACAGGCUGAUACCGCCCAAGAGUUCAUAUCGACGGCGGUGUUUGGCACCUCGAUGUCGGCUCAUCACAUCCUGGGGCUGAAGUAGGUCCCAAGGGUAUGGCUGUUCGCCAUUUAAAGUGGUACGCGAGCUGGGUUUAGAACGUCGUGAGACAGUUCGGUCCCUAUCUGCCGUGGGCGCUGGAGAAUUGAGGGGGGCUGCUCCUAGUACGAGAGGACCGGAGUGGACGCAUCACUGGUGUUCGGGUUGUCAUGCCAAUGGCACUGCCCGGUAGCUAAAUGCGGAAGAGAUAAGUGCUGAAAGCAUCUAAGCACGAAACUUGCCCCGAGAUGAGUUCUCCCUGAGACUUUAAGUCUCCUGAAGGAACGUUGAAGACGACGACGUUGAUAGGCCGGGUGUGUAAGCGCAGCGAUGCGUUGAGCUAACCGGUACUAAUGAACCGUGAGGCUUAACCUU
Molecule: ribosomal RNA, 2900 nt
Filed under: Klebsiella pneumoniae
Lineage: Bacteria; Pseudomonadati; Pseudomonadota; Gammaproteobacteria; Enterobacterales; Enterobacteriaceae
Description: bacterial LSU rRNA
Rfam family: Bacterial large subunit ribosomal RNA
Source: RNAcentral